GUGGGGAAUAUUGGACAAUGGGGGGAACCCUGAUCCAGCCAUGCCGCGUGUGUGAAGAAGGCCUUUUGGUUGUAAAGCACUUUAAGCGAGGAGGAGGCUACCGAGAUUAAUACUCUUGGAUAGUGGACGUUACUCGCAGAAUAAGCACCGGCUAACUCUGUGCCAGCAGCCGCGGUAAUACAGAGGGUGCAAGCGUUAAUCGGAUUUACUGGGCGUAAAGCGCGCGUAGGUGGCCAAUUAAGUCAAAUGUGAAAUCCCCGAGCUUAACUUGGGAAUUGCAUUCGAUACUGGUUGGCUAGAGUAUGGGAGAGGAUGGUAGAAUUCCAGGUGUAGCGGUGAAAUGCGUAGAGAUCUGGAGGAAUACCGAUGGCGAAGGCGACUACCUGGACUGAUACUGACACUGAGGUGCGAAAGCGUGGGGAGCAAACAGGAUUAGAAACCCGUGUAGUCC
This 451-nucleotide ribosomal RNA is filed under the name uncultured bacterium. RNAcentral's name for it is "bacterial SSU rRNA". It matches the Rfam family "Bacterial small subunit ribosomal RNA", at positions 354 to 796 of the family's 1533-position model. The record is from RNAcentral.